CUGGAGGUAUCAGAAGUGCGAAUGCUGACAUAAGUAACGAUAAAGCGGGUGAAAAGCCCGCUCGCCGGAAGACCAAGGGUUCCUGUCCAACGUUAAUCGGGGCAGGGUGAGUCGACCCCUAAGGCGAGGCCGAAAGGCGUAGUCGAUGGGAAACAGGUUAAUAUUCCUGUACUUGGUGUUACUGCGAAGGGGGGACGGAGAAGGCUAUGUUGGCCGGGCGACGGUUGUCCCGGUUUAAGCGUGUAGGCUGGUUUUCCAGGCAAAUCCGGAAAAUCAAGGCUGAGGCGUGAUGACGAGGCACUACGGUGCUGAAGCAACAAAUGCCCUGCUUCCAGGAAAAGCCUCUAAGCAUCAGGUAACAUCAAAUCGUACCCCAAACCGACACAGGUGGUCAGGUAGAGAAUACCAAGGCGCUUGAGAGAACUCGGGUGAAGGAACUAGGCAAAAUGGUGCCGUAACUUCGGGAGAAGGCACGCUGAUAUGUAGGUGAAGUCCCUCGCGGAUGGAGCUGAAAUCAGUCGAAGAUACCAGCUGGCUGCAACUGUUUAUUAAAAACACAGCACUGUGCAAACACGAAAGUGGACGUAUACGGUGUGACGCCUGCCCGGUGCCGGAAGGUUAAUUGAUGGGGUUAGCCGCAAGGCGAAGCUCUUGAUCGAAGCCCCGGCAAACGGCGGCCGUAACUAUAACGGUCCUAAGGUAGCGAAAUUCCUUGUCGGGUAAGUUCCGACCUGCACGAAUGGCGUAAUGAUGGCCAGGCUGUCUCCACCCGAGACUCAGUGAAAUUGAACUCGCUGUGAAGAUGCAGUGUACCCGCGGCAAGACGGAAAGACCCCGUGAACCUUUACUAUAGCUUGACACUGAACAUUGAGCCUUGAUGUGUAGGAUAGGUGGGAGGCUU
Molecule: ribosomal RNA, 901 nt
Filed under: Escherichia coli
Lineage: Bacteria; Pseudomonadati; Pseudomonadota; Gammaproteobacteria; Enterobacterales; Enterobacteriaceae
Description: partial 23S ribosomal RNA
Rfam family: Bacterial large subunit ribosomal RNA
Source: RNAcentral